Molecule: small nuclear RNA, 141 nt
Organism: Cebus imitator (Panamanian white-faced capuchin)
Lineage: Eukaryota; Metazoa; Chordata; Mammalia; Primates; Cebidae
Gene: U4
Rfam family: U4 spliceosomal RNA
About the family: U4 small nuclear RNA (U4 snRNA) is a component of the major U2-dependent spliceosome. The structure of U4 snRNA from yeast and human has been reported. U4 snRNA presents a k-turn RNA motif in the 5p-SL related to recognition of Snu13 protein.
Source: Ensembl
AGCUUUGUACAGUGGCAGUAUUGUAGCCAAUGAGGUUUAUCCAAGGCGCGAUUAUUGCUAAUUGAAAACUUUUCCCAAUAUCCUAUUAUGACGACUUGAAAUAUAGUCGGCGUUGGCAAUUUGUGGAAUUCUCCAUGGAGA